GGGAGGGGAUUAGUGGCGAACGGGUGAGUAACACGUGGGCAAUCUGCCCUGCACUCUGGGACAAGCCCUGGAAACGGGGUCUAAUACCGGAUACUGACCCGCUUGGGCAUCCAAGCGGUUCGAAAGCUCCGGCGGUGCAGGAUGAGCCCGCGGCCUAUCAGCUUGUUGGUGAGGUAAUGGCUCACCAAGGCGACGACGGGUAGCCGGCCUGAGAGGGCGACCGGCCACACUGGGACUGAGACACGGCCCAGACUAAUACGGGAGGCAGCAGUGGGGAAUAUUGCACAAUGGGCGAAAGCCUGAUGCAGCGACGCCGCGUGAGGGAUGACGGCCUUCGGGUUGUAAACCUCUUUCAGCAGGGAAGAAGCGAAAGUGACGGUACCUGCAGAAGAAGCGCCGGCUAACUACGUGCCAGCAGCCGCGGUAAUACGUAGGGCGCGAGCGUUGUCCGGAAUUAUUGGGCGUAAAGAGCUCGUAGGCGGCUUGUCACGUCGGUUGUGAAAGCCCGGGGCUUAACCCCGGGUCUGCAGUCGAUACGGGCAGGCUAGAGUUCGGUAGGGGAGAUCGGAAUUCCUGGUGUAGCGGUGAAAUGCGCAGAUAUCAGGAGGAACACCGGUGGCGAAGGCGGAUCUCUGGGCCGAUACUGACGCUGAGGAGCGAAAGCGUGGGGAGCGAACAGGAUUAGAUACCCUGGUAGUCCACGCCGUAAACGGUGGGCACUAGGUGUGGGCGACAUUCCACGUCGUCCGUGCCGCAGCUAACGCAUUAAGUGCCCCGCCUGGGGAGUAC
RNAcentral lists this ribosomal RNA (789 nucleotides) under Streptomyces sp. RNAcentral describes it as "bacterial SSU rRNA". It matches the Rfam family "Bacterial small subunit ribosomal RNA", at positions 83 to 883 of the family's 1533-position model. Lineage: Bacteria; Bacillati; Actinomycetota; Actinomycetes; Kitasatosporales; Streptomycetaceae. The record is from RNAcentral.